GACGAACGCUGGCGGCGUGCCUAAUACAUGCAAGUAGAACGCUGAAGGAGGAGCUUGCUUCUCUGGAUGAGUUGCGAACGGGUGAGUAACGCGUAGGUAACCUGCCUGGUAGCGGGGGAUAACUAUUGGAAACGAUAGCUAAUACCGCAUAACAGUAGAUGUUGCAUGACAUUUGCUUAAAAGGUGCAAUUGCAUCACUACCAGAUGGACCUGCGUUGUAUUAGCUAGUUGGUGGGGUAACGGCUCACCAAGGCGACGAUACAUAGCCGACCUGAGAGGGUGAUCGGCCACACUGGGACUGAGACACGGCCCAGACUCCUACGGGAGGCAGCAGUAGGGAAUCUUCGGCAAUGGACGGAAGUCUGACCGAGCAACGCCUCGUGAGUGAAGAAGGUUUUCGGAUCGUAAAGCUCUGUUGUAAGAGAAGAACGGGUGUGAGAGUGGAAAGUUCACACUGUGACGGUAUCUUACCAUAAAGGGACGGCUAACUACGUGCCAGCAGCCGCGGUAAUACGUAGGUCCCGAGCGUUGUCCGGAUUUAUUGGGCGUAAAGCGAGCGCAGGCGGUUAGAUAAGUCUGAAGUUUAAGGCUGUGGCUUAACCAUAGUACGCUUUGGAAACUGUUUAACUUGAGUGCAAGAGGGGAGAGUGGAAUUCCAUGUGUAGCGGUGAAAUGCGUACAUAUAUGGAGGAACACCGGUGGCGAAAGCGGCUCUCUGUCUUGUAUCUGACGCUGAGGCUCGAAAGCGUGGGGAGCAUACAGG
This 763-nucleotide ribosomal RNA is filed under the name uncultured Streptococcus sp. RNAcentral's name for it is "bacterial SSU rRNA". It matches the Rfam family "Bacterial small subunit ribosomal RNA", at positions 28 to 776 of the family's 1533-position model. The record is from RNAcentral. Lineage: Bacteria; Bacillati; Bacillota; Bacilli; Lactobacillales; Streptococcaceae.